Molecule: transfer RNA, 67 nt
Filed under: Speothos venaticus (bush dog)
Lineage: Eukaryota; Metazoa; Chordata; Mammalia; Carnivora; Canidae
Description: tRNA-Val
Rfam family: tRNA
About the family: Transfer RNA (tRNA) molecules are approximately 80 nucleotides in length. Their secondary structure includes four short double-helical elements and three loops (D, anti-codon, and T loops).
Source: RNAcentral
CAAAGUGUAGCUUAAUCAAAGCAUCUGGCCUACACCCAGGAGAUUUCAUUACUUAUGACCACUUUGA